GCCGUGCUCGCCCGCCGCUGCACCGGCGGAGGGAGGCAUGGAGCUCAAGUGCCGAGGAGGACGCUCGGCGGAUGGAGCGCCGAGGAGCUAGAGCUGCCCAGAUCUGUGGUGGAGGGAGCACCGAGGAGCUCUGCCCAAAUCCGCGACGGAGAUACGAGGAUAGUGAAGAGAAUUUUGAUGAUCAUAAUGGAAUAUUUAUUUUAAAGAAUAAAUUUAGAAUAUAACGAGUGCGGAUAACUUCAAUCCUUAAUCCCACGCACACCACGCCAACUAAACAGGCAAAAUUAUACGGCCCAUGGUCGAAUCGGCAUAGUAGGACGACGAUAGAGAAACUGAAACGCAUUGACAGUACUGCACAUUGACGAAUAUAGUGGCCACUCUCGUACAACUUUUCUUCUCUCCUAAAAAAUUGCCCAUAAAAGAAAACAUCCUGAGUUACCACCACACACAGAUCGAGGUCGUAAGUACUGGUUCCUGAAUAUGAUGUUCCGAGUCCGAGAGGCGCAGUACACCGUACACGACCGCGAGACCUUGGAGUGGCACUCUGCCUCCCCCGUUCUCCAGAUCCUCGUGUCGGCUACGGCAGAUCUCGCCGCCCCGCCCCCCGCCCCCCCAAACCCCCCUGCCUGCGCGCGUCCCCAACCCCAAUCAUCCUCCUCCUAAUCGCUUUCCGGAUUAUCCGCCUCUUCUUCCUCCUGGGCGCGACCCCGCCGGGGGAGUAAUUGCCACCAUUGCUGCGCUCCUGCCAUGGCGCCAGGACUCGCAGUCACGCGGCCUGUACAGCAAGCAGCCGCCUCGCAGUCGCAGAUCCUCCAGCCGGCUGGGUUUUGGAUGCAGCCCCUGCCGCGUCCUAGACUGCGCCGAUUCAAUGGCGUGGCAGGCCGGCCAUGGACGGAGGAGGUCAGUGCAGGCUGCAGCAGAGCGUGGCGUGCAUGCGUGAGCAGUGUGGUUCGCCAAGAUUUUGGCAGAGUUGCUCGUGGGAAGUUCGCGAUGUCGAGGUGCAUGGUUCUGCUUCCAUUGAGAAUUUGAGAUGCAUGGCAACGGGCAAGGUGGAGACUUCGCACUGCACUGCCAGCGAGGACAACAGUGUGGCAUCGACCAGCUGUGGUGGCCACAUAGAGCUCGGCACGUGUCGUGGUUUGUCUUACUAGUCGCAGAGCUCCGCUAGUGUUUGUUUUGUUUUCUUCUUCAUGCGGAUAGUUUUUUAGCCCUAUUGCAUUUCUUUUGUUAUCUUAACUGUAGUAGGCACUGUCUCAUCAAAAAAAAAAGUAUCUAGCUCAUUUCUACCAUUUUUAACCUUUUUCCCCACAUGAAAAAUCUAGACUUCCACACCAAACAAUUUUUUUUUUCUGAAAACCAAGCUGAAUGAUCACAAGAUUAAUGAAGUCCAGUCUCAACUCUCAAUUGCACCCUUGAGAAAAAGAAUGUAUAGAACAAUAUUUCCCCUGGUUUUAGGAACCUCCUAUAUCCAUCCAUUAACAGUUGCUAUCACAAGGAUUUCCUUUGUUUGUCCAGUUAGAUUGCAGUGAUCUAUAUUCCGGCCAACUAUGCUCGUCAAUAGCAGGAGGACCCAAAUGUUUGAACAAAGAUUGUACUGAUGUGAUUGUAUUCAUUACCAUUUCCCCUAAGAUGAUUACAGCGUCAUAUCUCGGUCAACUCAUGCUGUUUCUUUUCUCAUGCAGUGUGAGGUUCAGAGCAGGUGAACGUCUGCGUCCACCCACCAUAAGAAAUGGUAGAGAAGCUGUCCCUGGCCAGUUGCAUCAGCAGAUCAAGCCGAUAUCUCCAUUAACAAAGACACUAGAUACCCUCUCAAAUCAUGUAACAUAUACAAUCAGCAAAAGGGGAUAUCAUCACA
Molecule: long non-coding RNA, 1855 nt
Organism: Panicum virgatum (switchgrass)
Lineage: Eukaryota; Viridiplantae; Streptophyta; Magnoliopsida; Poales; Poaceae
Exons: 2
Source: RefSeq, a predicted model, not a curated record